Erinaceus europaeus (western European hedgehog) is the source of this 110-nucleotide small nuclear RNA. NCBI's taxonomy places the organism in Eukaryota, Metazoa, Chordata, Mammalia, Eulipotyphla, Erinaceidae. The record is from Ensembl.
GUGCUUGUUUCGGCAGCACAUAAACUAAAAUUGGAACGAUACAGAGAAGAAGACCAGCAUAGCCCCCGCACAAGGAUGACAUGCAAAUUCGUGAAGCAUUCCAUAUCUUU